GGGUGGUGCUGUGAAAGCUGGUGGCACAGGAGCUGACCAGAGUUCUGCAGAACAGCACACCACAGCAGCAGCAGCAGCAGCAGCAGCAGGAGCAUUGUGUGAGGGAAGACACAGCAUGUUGAGGCAAGGCAGCAGCUGUGGAGGAGUGGACAGCUGCACCACUGACACCACCACCACUGCUCAAUGCUGCUACUACUACUACUACUACUACUACUACUGCUGCUGCUGCUGCUGCCUGCUGCUGCUGCUGCUGCUGUUCCUCUCCUCCUCCCAGCACAGAAAACAGACUGUGGGGUCCUGCCACAAUGCGGCUCCCUCCUGCAGGACAUGUUCUCGUCACCUUCAUGUCCUGGACGCGUGCAUAGACUUAUGCCUCGGUAGCCUGGCUGCAACAGACUGCAGCUGUGUGCUGUGCUGUUGCUGGCCAACAGGAGGGGGCGGGCAAGCUGGCCACCCUCUGCAUCACCAUCUGCUGGGGAAAGAAGAGCACCGUUGUUGUCAUCUUUGUUUUCCUUCUUUUUCCUUUUGUUUUCCUUCACUGUUUGCAGGGAAUGGUGGCAGAAUUUGUUGAUGUUGUUGUUGUUGUUAUCUGUUUGUUAUUAAAUGAUGUGUUCAUUGUGUUGUUGUUGUUAUUGUUGUUGUUUUGUGUGUGUGAUGAACAAAAGCAGUCUACAGUUA
Long non-coding RNA from Scylla paramamosain (green mud crab), 678 nucleotides. RefSeq lists it as uncharacterized. The record is from RefSeq and is a predicted model, not a curated record. The transcript has 2 exons. Lineage: Eukaryota; Metazoa; Arthropoda; Malacostraca; Decapoda; Portunidae.